Molecule: ribosomal RNA, 415 nt
Filed under: uncultured Stenotrophomonas sp.
Lineage: Bacteria; Pseudomonadati; Pseudomonadota; Gammaproteobacteria; Lysobacterales; Lysobacteraceae
Description: bacterial SSU rRNA
Rfam family: Bacterial small subunit ribosomal RNA
Source: RNAcentral
UGAGGAAUACAUCGGAAUCUACUUUUUCGUGGGGGAUAACGUAGGGAAACUUACGCUAAUACCGCAUACGACCUACGGGUGAAAGCAGGGGACCUUCGGGCCUUGCGCGAUUGAAUGAGCCGAUGUCGGAUUAGCUAGUUGGCGGGGUAAAGGCCCACCAAGGCGACGAUCCGUAGCUGGUCUGAGAGGAUGAUCAGCCACACUGGAACUGAGACACGGUCCAGACUCCUACGGGAGGCAGCAGUGGGGAAUAUUGGACAAUGGGCGCAAGCCUGAUCCAGCCAUACCGCGUGGGUGAAGAAGGCCUUCGGGUUGUAAAGCCCUUUUGUUGGGAAAGAAAUCCAGCCGGUUAAUACCUGGUUGGGAUGACGGUACCCAAAGAAUAAGCACCGGCUAACUUCGUGCCAGCAGCCGC